Molecule: long non-coding RNA, 892 nt
Filed under: Nicotiana benthamiana
Lineage: Eukaryota; Viridiplantae; Streptophyta; Magnoliopsida; Solanales; Solanaceae
Description: long non-coding RNA (NBEN_LNC041938)
Source: RNAcentral
AGGAAAAUACGUCAUUAGAGAAGCUCUCAAAUUCCUCAACGUUCCCUCUUCCCCAUUGAAAAGCUUAGCUAUAGCAGGCCGGAACAGUUCCAAACUUUCCCAUGCACUCCAAUGGGCCUCCCGUUCAAAUCCACAACCCCAAAUUCCCAUCCUCACCGCCGACACAACCGACCCAUCUUCUCUCCGCCACCUCGCUUCUCAGGCUAAGCUCAUCUUCAAUUGUGUCGGCCCGUUUCGUCUUUACGGUGGGCUCUCCAAUGGGCCGCCCGUCCAAACCCACCGCCCCAAAUUCCAAUCCUCACCGCCGACACCACCGACCUAUCUUCUCUCCGCCACCUCGCUUCUCAGGCUAAGAUCAUUCUUAAUUGUGUCGGCCCGUUUCGAUUGUACGGUGAGCCCGUCGUUGAGGCCUGUGCUGAUUCCGGUUGCGAUUACUUGGAUAUUUGUGGGGAGCCCGAGUUUAUGGAGAGGAUGGAAGUGAAGUACCAUGAUAAGGCUGUGGAUAUGGGAUCGUUGAUUGUUUCGGCUUGUGGGUUUGAUUCUGUGCCUGCUGAUUUGGGCUUGAUGUUCAAUUCGAGACAGUAUAUGCCGCCGGCUGUUCCUAAUCAGGUUGAGGCCUACCUUAGUCUGGAAUCGGAGAAGAGAGUUUGGCUCUUUGAUUGUUUCGGCUUGUGGGUUUGAUUCUGUGCCUGCUGAAUUAGGCUUGAUGUUCAAUUCGAGACAAUGGCUGCCGCCGGCUGUUCCUAAUCAGGUUGAAGCCUACCUUAGUCUGGAGUCGGACAAGAGAAUUGUUGGAAACUUCGCGACGUAUGAGUCAGCAGUGCUUGGUGUGGCUAACGCGGACAAAUUACAGGAGCUCAGGCGCUCCAGACCCAAGAGGGCUCGUCCUGUG